Molecule: long non-coding RNA, 886 nt
Organism: Oncorhynchus keta (chum salmon)
Lineage: Eukaryota; Metazoa; Chordata; Actinopteri; Salmoniformes; Salmonidae
Exons: 4
Source: RefSeq, a predicted model, not a curated record
UGGGAAGUCUAGAGGUGGACUGACCUAAUGAAAGUAGACUGAGAGGCAGGCAGCAGGACAUGGGAAGUCUAGAGGUGGACUGACCUAAUGAAAGUAGACUGAGAGGCAGGCAGCAGGACAUGGGAAGUCUAGAGGUGGACUGACCUAAUGAAAGUAGACUGAGAGGCAGGCAGCAGGACAUGGGAAGUCUAGAGGUGGACUGACCUAAUGAAAGUAGACUGAGAGGCAGGCAGCAGGACAUGGGAAGUCUAGAGGUGGACUGACCUAAUGAAAGUAGACUGAGAGGCAGGCAGCAGGACAUGGGAAGUCUAGAGGUGGACUGACCUAAUGAAAGUAGACUGAGAGGCAGGCAGCAGGACAUGGGAAGUCUAGAGGUGGACUGACCUAAUGAAAGUAGACUGAGAGGCAGGCAGCAGGACAUGGGAAGUCUAGAGGUGGACUGACCUAAUGAAAGUAGACUGAGAGGCAGGCAGCAGGACAUGGGAAGUCUAGAGGUGGACUGACCUAAUGAAAGUAGACUGAGAGGCAGGCAGCAGGACAUGGGAAGUCUAGAGGUGGACUGACCUAAUGAAAGUAGACUGAGAGGCAGGCAGCAGGACAUGGGAAGUCUAGAGGUGGACUGACCUAAUGAAAGUAGACUGAGAGGCAGGCAGCAGGACAUGGGAAGUCUAGAGGUGGACUGACCUAAUGAAAGUAGACUGAGAGGCAGGCAGCAGGACAUGGGAAGUCUAGAGGUGGACUGACCUAAUGAAAGUAGACUGAGAGGCAGGCAGCAGGACAUGGGAAGUCUAGAGGUGGACUGACCUAAUGAAAGUAGACUGAGAGGCAGGCAGCAGGACAUGGGAAGUCUAGAGGUGGACUGACCUAAUGAAAGUAGACUGAGAGG